RNAcentral lists this long non-coding RNA (319 nucleotides) under Elaeis guineensis (African oil palm). RNAcentral describes it as "long non-coding RNA (EGUI_LNC020004)". Lineage: Eukaryota; Viridiplantae; Streptophyta; Magnoliopsida; Arecales; Arecaceae. The record is from RNAcentral.
GCCUAACAUGCUAAAAUCUUGACAAUAAUUGACUGCAACCAUGUUACUUAAAACUAUAAAUAAAUAUAAAAAUUUGCUGCAAACAUGACAAGUUGGGAAAGUAACCAAGAAAACACUUCCUAUACAACGUUAACCAAAAGUAUCCGAGUGUAUUGCACCAACAUUCCCAGCCGCACUCAAUUACUUUUUCUCCGUCCGCGUGCGCUAGAGCAUGUUUACGUGUGCGUGCGUAUAGACUUUCUCAGAGAAGGCUCGAAGAGUAGUGGCGCGUUUAGCUCAUGGAUGUAGAUUCUUCCAUCUACCGACCCAGAGGAGGCGA